RNAcentral lists this ribosomal RNA (200 nucleotides) under uncultured bacterium. RNAcentral describes it as "partial 16S ribosomal RNA". It matches the Rfam family "Bacterial small subunit ribosomal RNA", at positions 1300 to 1500 of the family's 1533-position model. The record is from RNAcentral.
GUAGUCUGCAACUCGACUACAUGAAGCUGGAAUCGCUAGUAAUCGCGAAUCAGAAUGUCGCGGUGAAUACUUCCCGGGUCUUGUACACACCGCCCGUCACACCAUGGGAGUUGGGAAUGCCCGAAGCCGGUGACCUAACCGAAAGGGAGGAGCCGUCGAAGGCAGGCUUGAUAACUGGGGUGAAGUCGUAACAAGGUACC